GUUUUUAACGAGGCCAUAGAUUUGCUUCUCAAAUCUCUUAGUUGGUGAUCUCGAUCCAACCUUAUCCCGGAUCAACCUUAUGUUAUAAUAAGUAUUUCAUUUCAUGUUUUAUUUUCAAACUGUCAUUUGUUUCUAUUUCCAAGAGAGCCGUGUGCCUUUACUCUCUUGCUAGUUUUCGAGAAGCUUGGAGCCUGUUCCAACUUCUCCUAUAUAAGUGUACUUUGAAACCCUUCAUAGAAAUCAAUUAUCUUUUAUCAAAAAAAAAACCUUUCUUUGUUCUCUCUACUACUUGUUCGCGAGUUGUUGAGUGUUCUUGUUGGUGUGUAGUAUCCAACAACCCAAGAGUGUCUAUCUCGGUGUGUCAUAACCGAUCUAGUCACUUAGGAGUAUCAAGGAGCCUUUCUGCAGCCUCUUGUGUCACCAAUCGAUCCACAACCUUGUAGAACUUGAGUCUUUGAUUCGUUCUAGCAAGGAUCUAUCCCAUACUAUCCAGAGAAGCAAUCUAGGGACGUAUUAGAAUAGUUCUCACCAUACACAGUGAAAAGACUCCAAUCCACGUCUUCACCGUCGAUUACCAUCACAAAACGUUCACUCUGUUUCUAUGAUAAAAACAUAAUCAUUCAUAUACGCUGGCCUCACACUUACUCUUGUUGAUCUCUUUAACUGAGGAUGUGACCAUUCUUAUUCUUUAUCACCAUCAUCAUUACUCUCAACAACCUCGUCGUCGUCAUUCUUUUCUUCCUCUCUGUCUAAUUCCUAUUGAUUCAUCAUGUUCUCAUCCCUAAAAUCAUCACUUCCGAACAAACUCAAU
This 811-nucleotide long non-coding RNA is filed under the name Brassica napus (rape). Its description in RNAcentral is "long non-coding RNA (BNAP_LNC006739)". Lineage: Eukaryota; Viridiplantae; Streptophyta; Magnoliopsida; Brassicales; Brassicaceae. The record is from RNAcentral.